This 4553-nucleotide small RNA is filed under the name Pongo abelii (Sumatran orangutan). RNAcentral describes it as "retained intron". Lineage: Eukaryota; Metazoa; Chordata; Mammalia; Primates; Hominidae. The record is from RNAcentral.
AUUCCUCACAAUAACCAGAUAGCCUCUGCUUUCUUUUUCCUUUCUUCGGAAUGAGAGACUCAACCAUAAUAGAAAGAAUGAAGAACUAUUAACCACCUUUCUUCAGUGGGCUGUGAUUUUCAGAGGGGAAUACUAAGAAAUAUUAUUUUUACAGAUGGUUUUUCGUACUGGAACUCAAAGGUAAAGACACUCAAGGACAGACAUUUUUGGCAGAGCUCAGUUUUCUGUGCUUGGACCCUCUGGGCCCAUCCUGGCCAUGGUGGGUGAAGACGCUGAUCUGCCCUGUCACCUGUUCCCGACCAUGAGUGCAGAGACCAUGGAGCUGAGGUGGGUGAGUUCCAGCCUAAGGCAGGUGGUGAACGUGUAUGCAGAUGGAAAGGAAGUGGAAGACAGGCAGAGUGCACCAUAUCGAGGGAGAACUUCGAUUCUACGGGAUGGCAUCACUGCAGGGAAGGCUGCUCUCCGAAUACACAACGUCACAGCCUCUGACAGUGGAAAGUACUUGUGUUAUUUCCAAGAUGGUGACUUCUAUGAAAAAGCCCUGGUGGAGCUGAAGGUUGCAGGUGAGCCUCCAGGUUUUGUUCUGAGAACAUUUCUCUGUAGGAUCUAGAGCAGAUGCAGAGUCCCUCUUGCAAAAGCACUGCAGACACUCCUGGCUGCUCACUAGUAAUUGUCUGCACUGCCUUCCAACUUAGCUUCUCUGCAACCCUUAAGAAAGACACAUUCUUUCUUUAGAAAGAAUUCCUGCUAUACCCUACAUGCUGAAUGAAGUAAACAACUCCCUCCCGCUGACAACCAGAGAUAUAAGGGAAAUGAAGGACGACGGAUAGGAAACAUUAGAAAUCAUCAGUUCAGUGACUGGUACACAGUCAUUUUGGUUUAGUUGUGUAACAGACGGCUUCUGUUGUGUCUCCAAGUGCACACUACCAUGGGUCCUGGGAGGUGGAAUAGUGACUGUAUCUGCUGCCAGUGUUUUCCAAUCAGUGACUCCCAGAAACAUUUUUGUAGUAUAAUGAGGCAUGUUUCUUACUUGUUGCUUUGAGGAAGAACACACAUCAUGAGCUGUGGCGGGGUCUCAGUAAGAAGGUUUUAGAGCAGACUUAUUAUACAAUUUGGGCUUGUGUUAGGGGAUUUGGGGGAGGGUUUAUAGACUUAGCUGUCUGCUCUGGAUGAGAUACUGUCAGGAAGGUGUGGGGAGAUGAAUUCUGAUAGUGGGAGCCUUAAUCAAGCUUAUCUAGGAGGAAGGAGACUAGGGUGAGACUAAAGCUGUAAAUGAUGAAGAGGCAGCAAUUCCUCAUUACUGAUGGGGGAUGUUUGGUUAUUGUUGUGGUUUGUACAAUGUUCAUGUUUUUCUCUGCACUCAUACAGGAUUGGGGUGGUCUUGUAUUUCCCAUGAUCUGUCACAGUGAUAAAGUACUAUUUUUUGUGUUCUGUGAAAUUACUCAUGUUCAACAGGAGGAUACCAAGACCUGGUGUCAGGUUCUAGACACCGAGGAGAGCUUUCUUCUUUCUCAGUGCAAUCCCUUGCCUCAUGGCUUCUGGUUGGGUUUGGUUUAAGGGGAGCUGUAGCAGACAAUGGUAGGAAGAAGAGAAAAGGGAGAGGUCUGGGUGCUUAUUCCCUGGCUUCCUUCCUGCAAGAUACCCUCAGGCUGGCUGCAUUGCCUUGCUGAAGGUCACAAGUCAACUCAAGAAAGUCCUCAAUGCAUCAAUCUUCUCUUUUAUGUCUCCGGAACAGAUCCCUCUCCUUCUCCCUCUGGUAAUUGGGGUGAAUGGGAAUAGCCCCACAUUACUGACCCUGGGAUACUGCACUAGCCCGUUUAGUUUUCUUUUCUUCAUGACCACACUUGUGUAAAUAGCUCCUGAAUGAAAUCUUCCUUGGAUUAUCAAAUGUGAGUCUGCCAUUGAUUCCCAUUGAGACCCUCCUUGAUACAGGAGCUCUCAAGAAUUUAGGCCAAUUUAUCCUUCUACAGCAUUGGGUUCUGAUCUUCACGUUGAAGUGAAGGGUUAUGAGAAUGGAGGGAUCCAUCUGGAGUGCAGGUCCACUGGCUGGUACCCCCAACCCCAAAUAAAGUGGAGUGAUGCCAAGGGAGAGAACAUCCCGGCUGUGGAAGCACCUGUGGUUGCAGACGGAGUGGGCCUGUAUGCAGUAGCAGCAUCUGUGAUCAUGAGAGGCGGCUCUGGUGGGGGUGUAUCCUGCAUCAUCAGAAAUUCCCUCCUAGGCCUGGAAAAGACAGCCAGCAUUUCCAUCGCAGACCCCUUCUUCACGAGCGCCCAGCCCUGGAUCGCGGCCCUGGCAGGAACCCUGCCUAUCUCGUUGCUGCUCCUCGCAGGAGCCAGUUACUUCUUGUGGAGACAACAGAAGGAAAAAAUUGCUCUGUCCAGGGAGACAGAAAGAGAGCGAGAGCUGAAAGAAAUGGGAUAUGCUGCAACAAAGCAGGAAAUAAGCCUAAGAGGUAUCCAACGUGAGCAGAGAAUCUAAGCCCCUGGCUUGCAUGCCCCAGCCUGAAGUUCUCACCCCCAUUCCCACCCUGGCACUGCAUCAAGUUUAAGGUUUAUUUUCCUGAAACCCCGCUUACCCAUAACUGUUCUUUUUUUUUUUUCUUUUUUUGCUUAUUUUCCAGAGAAGCUCCAGGAGGAACUCAGUAAGUUCCCAUUCCCCAGGAGACCCAGGCAUGUCUUCUUAUCCCCACUUUGAGCGCCUUGAUAACCCUUCCCUAUUCAUUCCAUUGCAGAGUGGAGAAAAAUCCGGUACAUGGCUCGCGGAGAGAAGUCUUUGGCCUAUCAUGAAUGGAAAAUGGCCCUCUUCAAGCCUGCAGAUGUGAUUCUGGAUCCAGACACGGCAAACGCCAUCCUCCUUGUUUCUGAGGACCAGAGAAGUGUGCAGCGUGCUGAAGAGCCACGGGAUCUGCCAGACAACCCUGAGAGAUUUGAAUGGCGUUACUGUGUCCUUGGCUGUGAAAACUUCACAUCAGGGAGACAUUACUGGGAGGUGGAAGUGGGGGACAGAAAAGAGUGGCAUAUUGGGGUAUGUAGUAAGAACGUGGAGAGGAAAAAAGGUUGGGUCAAAAUGACACCGGAGAAUGGAUACUGGACUAUGGGCCUGACUGAUGGGAAUAAGUAUCGGGCUCUCACUGAGCCCAGAACCAACCUGAAACUUCCUGAGCCCCCUAGGAAAGUGGGGAUCUUCCUGGACUAUGAGACUGGAGAGAUCUCGUUCUACAAUGCCAUGGAUGGAUCUCAUAUCUACACCUUUCCGCACACCUCUUUCUCUGAGCCUGUAUAUCCUGUUUUCAGAAUUUUGACCUUGGAGCCCACUGCCCUGACCAUUUGCCCAACACCAAAAGAAGUAGAGAGGUCCCCCAAUCCUGACCUAGUGCUUGAUCAUUCCCUGGAGACACCAGUAACCCCGGCCUUAGCUAAUGAAAGUGGGGAGCCUCAGGCUGAAGUAACAUCUCUGCUUCUCCCUGCCAACGCUGGAGCUGAGGGUCUCCCCUUCCACAACAACCAGUCAGAACCAUAAGCCACAGGCAUGCACUGAAGCACUUUACUGAUAUUCAUUCCAUUAUUCCAUAUGACAGUUGUUUUGAGUUUGGUACCACCUUAUUGUCCCCUUAUACAGAUAAGGAAACUGGGGCGCAGAAAGGUCAAUUAGCUUUACAAAGUAGAGAUGACUAGUGAACAACAGAGCUGGGAUCUAAACAGCAAUAACUAACAUUAACAGAGAAUUUAAAAUGUUCUGAGUGCUGUGUUAUAAGCUUUGGUGGAUGUCACUCCUUUAAUCCUCACAACACCCUGUCGGGUAGUCAUAUUUUGCAAGUAUGGAAGCUGAGGCAGGGCAACAUGAAGUAACUUACAUAACUCAUACAGUAAUUUGUGCAGUUGGGAGAUGUUCAGCCUUAGUCCCUGGCUAAUUGCCUGUUCUUUUCCAGCCUGACUUUUUCCCACAGGAAGAGCCCACAUGUAGCCCUGAGGUUUCCUUCCCAGGACAGCUCCAGGGUAGAGAUCAUUGUAAGUGCUUGUGGAGUUGACAUCCCUAUUGACUCCUUCCCAGCUGAUUAUCACAGCCUUAGACCCAGCACUCCUUGGAUUAGCUCUGCAGAGUAUCUUGGUUGAGAGAAUAACCUCAUAGUACCGACAUGACAUGUGACUUGGAAAGAGACUAGAGGCCACACUUGAUAAAUCAUGGGGAAGAGAUGUGUUCCCACCCAACAAAUGUUAUAAGUGAUCGUGCAGCCAGAGCCAGCCUUCCUACAAUCAAGGUUUCCAGGCAGAGCAAAUACCCUAAAGAUUAUCUGUGAUAUAUGAAAUUUGGAUCAAGGAAGCUAAAAGAAUUGCAGGGAUGUUUUUAAUCCCGCUAUGGACUCAGUCUCCUGGAAAUAGGUCUGUCCAUCCCUGUUCAUUGGUGGAUGUUAAACCCAUAUUCCUUUCAACUGAUGCCUGCUAGGGAAAACUGCUCCUUAUUAUCAUCACUAUUAUUGCUCACCACUGUAUCCCCUCUACUUGACAAGUGGUUGUCAAGUUCUAGUUGUUCAAUAAAUGUGUUAACAAUGCUU